Non-coding RNA from Cinara cedri, 911 nucleotides. The record is from the annotation of a GenBank genome assembly. Lineage: Eukaryota; Metazoa; Arthropoda; Insecta; Hemiptera; Aphididae.
AUUAAAAAAUACCUCCUCUAUGUACUAACUACAUUUAACUAAUUUUGGAUCAAAAUAAAACAAAAAGAAAUUUCUUUUAAUUUUUUGAUUGGAACAAGAUUUCUAAUAGUUGCUGAUAGUCGCAGAAAAAAAAAAAUUUAAAAGAAAAUAUACAUGUAUAAAACCAAUAUGGUCUUCACUCUGCUCAGAAUCUAAAAGUAUGUAGUUAUUUUCUAAUUUUCAGUAGGGAAGUAACCUUAUAAAAUUAUCAAAAUAAAAUGUAAAUACAUUUUUAAAUUGCUUUUAUAUUUUUAUUUAUAAUAAAUAACUAACUGUUUAAUAAAUAUUUGAGAUGAAGGUGAAGGAGAAGAAGAGAACGUUAGUUUAAUGAGUUAGCGUAUUUGAGAAACUUGCUUAGCUUUGCUAUCUAUCCUGUUUUCAAGCUCACCAUCAAAAUAUAAUUAUUUUAAUAAAAUAAAUUUUGAAAUUGAAUAUUAACGUGUAUGAUGGAGAGUCCAAAAAAAAAAAAAAAGGUACAAAUGAAAUAUGAAUUCUUUUUUUUAUACCCACACAUUUUACUCGAGAUGGUAUGUAUUUUAUUGAAGUACACUUAAAUAUUUAAAUAUUUGGACCCGACAGCUGACAUACGCUAGUCAAUCUGUUCAAGAAUUCAUUGAGAUUAUAAUAUUUGUUGUUUCGGAUUUGAAGCGUAGCGAGGAAUCUAUCGGUUUUAUUAUGGUGUAUUACUUUUUGACCAGAAAUCUUGCUCCAAUUGAAAAAUGACAAGAUCCUUUUUUUGAAUUUCGUAUUUUGUUGGUGCAUUUUUUAAUUUUCCAAUCAGUUUUCAUAAUAAUUAAGAAAACCCAAAAACUAUGUAAAAUGUAAACUCACAAAUGUAUUAAAUGAUUAGUACAUUAAUCGUAGUUUGUGGC